RNAcentral lists this long non-coding RNA (446 nucleotides) under Vitis vinifera (wine grape). RNAcentral's name for it is "long non-coding RNA (VVIN_LNC003693)". The record is from RNAcentral. Lineage: Eukaryota; Viridiplantae; Streptophyta; Magnoliopsida; Vitales; Vitaceae.
CCGGGAGUUCCGGGGCUCCAAGGCCAAAACCAACUUCCCUCUCCCCAACGAAGUCCUCCCCUUCCCCAACACCGACAACCUCACCCGCAGCCCCAGCCCCAGCAGCACCGUCGAGUCCUCCAGCCCCCACGCGCCUCUCGAGCUCGACCUCACGCGCCGCCUAGGAAGCAGCGACGGUGGCUUUCCGUUCCAUUACCAGCCGCACGUUGUGAAUUCCGCUGCUGUGGCAGGCGUUUGGCCUCACGCGCGGCCAGUUUUGUUUUUGGAUGCGUUUGUCGGGGCGGAGGGGUUCCGAGUCAACCCGGUUACAGUCGCCUACGAUGGCGGGUUUGGGAGCCCGGUUCAGAGCGAGUCGGACUCGUCUUCUGUGGUGGACUCGGUCCAGCAUGAGAGCAGUGGGGCAACGAGGGUUCUGGGUCUGGAUCUUAACUUCCCUCCACCCCUGG